Molecule: long non-coding RNA, 469 nt
Organism: Varroa destructor (honeybee mite)
Lineage: Eukaryota; Metazoa; Arthropoda; Arachnida; Mesostigmata; Varroidae
Source: RefSeq, a predicted model, not a curated record
UCUGCCGAAACAGCUACGCAUAGAAUUGUAUCAUUGGAUAGCUUGUUAGCUUGGCUCAUUGCGUGUUUGCAUAGCCUUUGCAAUGGUACAGGAACAAGGUUCAACUGUCAUAGCGCGAGCUGACUAAAUUUAGGACGGCGAUACGUAUCGGAGUCCAUUGCAUAUGAAUGAAAGCAGAUAUUUGGAUUUAUCAUGUUACAUAUGUCGACAAGCAGGUCCCUAGUAAACGUCGUUAUUCAAUGGAACUGCCGUUUGCUUCGGCCGUGGCUCCAAUUCAGGCCAUACGCAUGCUCAAGUUAACAUGCACGCAUUCCUAAAAGCAAUAGCUGAUUCGUGCCGGAUUGGCUACUGCAGGAUUCAAACGCAAUGAGCACAUAUGGCCAGAUUUCGAUCCACUGGACCAUCUUGUACGGUAUGCGAUUGAGCGAGCGUUCAAGAAGUUGCCACAGGACAAGUUCGACCUUUUUAU